AAGUACAUGCCGUAUUAAGGCGAAACCGCGAAUGGCUCAUUAAAUCAGUUAUGGUUCCUUGGAUCGUACCUUACUACUUGGAUAACUGUGGCAAUUCUAGAGCUAAUACAUGCAGCAGAGCUCCGACCUUACGGGACGAGCGCUUUUAUUAGACCAAAACCAAUCGGACCUCGGUCCGUUCUAUGUGGUGACUCUGAAUAACUUUGGGCUGAUCGCACGGACUUGUUCCGGCGACGUAUCUUUCAAGUGUCUGCCUUAUCAACUGUCGAUGGUAUGUUACGCGCCUACCAUGGUCGUAACGGGUAACGGGGAAUCAGGGUUCGAUUCCGGAGAGGGAGCCUGAGAAACGGCUACCACAUCCAAGGAAGGCAGCAGGCGCGCAAAUUACCCACUCCCGGAACGGGGAGGUAGUGACGAAAAAUAACAAUACGGGACUCUUUUGAGACCCCGUAAUUGGAAUGAGUACACUCUAAAUCCUUUAACGAGGAUCCAUUGGAAGGCAAGCCAGGUGCCAGCAGCUGCGGUAAUACCUGCUCCAAUAGCGUAUAUUAAAGUUGUUGCGGUUAAAAAGCUCGUAGUUGGAUCUCAGUUGCAGAGGGACGGUCCUCCUACCGGUGGUCACUGUCUUUUCUGAACGUCUCAGCCGGUUUCUCUUGAUGAUCUUCACCGGUUGUCUUGGGUGACCGGCAAGUUUACUUUGAAAAAAUUAGAGUGCUCAAAGCAUGCGUGACGCAUGAAUAAUGGUGCAUGGAAUAAUGGAAUAGGACCUCGGUUCUAUUUUGUUGGUUUACGGAAAACGAGGUAAUGAUUAAGAGGGACAGCCGGGGGCAUUCGUACUGCGACGCUAGAGGUGAAAUUCUUGGACCGUCGCAAGACGAACUACUGCGAAAGCAUUUGCCAAGAAUGUUUCCAUUAAUCAAGAACGAAAGUUAGAGGUUCGAAGGCGAUCAGAUACCGCCCUAGUUCUAACCAUAAACGAUGCCAGCCAGCGAUCCGGCUGUGUUCCUCAAAUGACACGCCGGGCAGCUUCCGGGAAACCAAAGCUUUUGGGUUCCGGGGGGAAGUAUGGUUGCAAAGCUGAAACUUAAAGGAAUUGACGGAAGGGCACACAAGAAAUGGAGCCUGCGGCUUAAUUUGACUCAACACGGGGUAGCCUACCUGGCCCGGACACAGGAAGGAUUGACAGAUUAAGAGCUCUUUCUUGAUUCUGUGGGUUGUGGUGC
Molecule: ribosomal RNA, 1223 nt
Filed under: Steatoda borealis
Lineage: Eukaryota; Metazoa; Arthropoda; Arachnida; Araneae; Theridiidae
Description: SSU rRNA
Rfam family: Eukaryotic small subunit ribosomal RNA
Source: RNAcentral